GUCGAUUUGUGAACCAAUCUCAACGUUGUUUUAACGUGGAUUCAACGUUGAAUUAUGGUUGACGAGAUUGGCAACCUAAUUUCAACGUUGUUUCAACGUCGAAACAGUAACGUGGAUCCAAUUUGCAUAGUCAACCCUUUUUCAACGUCUAUCCAACGUCUGGAAGGUCAUUUCCAACGUUGAUUCAACGUUGGAUAAACGUCCUUUUGCCCGCUG
This is a non-coding RNA of Paramuricea clavata, 216 nucleotides long. The record is from the annotation of a GenBank genome assembly. NCBI's taxonomy places the organism in Eukaryota, Metazoa, Cnidaria, Anthozoa, Malacalcyonacea, Plexauridae.